CAGCCGCCACGGUAAUACGGAGGGGGCUAGCGUUGUUCGGAAUUACUGGGCGUAAAGCGCACUUAGGCGGCUUGGUAAGUUAGAGGUGAAAGCCCGGAGCUCAACUCCGGAAUUGCCUUUAAGACUGCAGAGCUAGUAGGUGAGAGAGGUAAGUGGAAUUCCGAGUGUAGAGGUGAAAUUCGUAGAUAUUCGGAAGAACACCAGUGGCGAAGGCGACUGACUGGACAAGUAUUGACGCUGAGGUGCGAAAGCGUGGGGAGCAAACAGGAUUAGAUACCCGCGUAGUCCCUGUCUCUUAUAC
RNAcentral lists this ribosomal RNA (301 nucleotides) under uncultured bacterium. RNAcentral's name for it is "partial 16S ribosomal RNA". It matches the Rfam family "Bacterial small subunit ribosomal RNA", at positions 509 to 807 of the family's 1533-position model. The record is from RNAcentral.